CGGCCUUUACGUUCUUAAUACGCUUCAGAGUCAGAACAGAAGAAGCAGCCUCGGCCUGCAGCGCUAAACACUGAACCGUACUAACGGCUGGCUGGACAUAUAUUUUACUCUGUGCUGAGGUGAACCAGAUUGCAUGGUGCUGAUGCAUCAUGGAAAACCAGAGGGAUGAACGUUCAGCUCACAAGGACAUCUUCAAAACCAGCCUAUUGAGAGUGGACACAUUGAUUCGCACAUGAAAACCAUUAUGUGACUGGAUAUAGCUUUAUUGAUGCUUGCACAUUGGAAAGCGAUGCCCUCACGGAUCAUCAUGGAAAAGCAGAAAUCAGUGAAUGCUGUUACUUCAACAAAAUUGAGUGGAGAAUCUUGUACCUUUAUCUGCACAGAGUGCGGUGAUGGGUUCAGUCAGUACUCUUAUCUUUUGAGCCACAUGACUACUCAUGGACCAUUGGAGUCAUUUUCCUUUGAUGGCUCAUCAAAUGGAUUUGAAAUCCCUCGGGAAUAUGUGCUGCAAGAAAAUGGCACACUGACAGUUGUGAACGGCUUGGAGUUACAAUCUUCUGUAAAACCAGUAUCUCCUGGAAUCCUGCCAUCUCAUGUCCCAUCUGCCAUAAAACGCAUGUCUCCAACUCUGAAGCCACAGCCAAGGCCAUCUGACUUGAACCUAGAUAAGUCCCGACAGGGACAUUGCCGUUGUGAAAUAUGUAGCAGAUCAUUUAACAGCCUGCAGAGUUUGCAUCGUCACCAGCAGUAUCGAAACACAGAGCGAGGUUAUAAGUGUACUUUGUGUUGUAAAAUAUUUGAAGGUAGACAGGACCUUAAGAAACACCUCCAAGACCAUGUCAAUGAAAGGUUUCAUUGCUGUAGUUAUUGUGGAAAGCGAUUCCUUCAAAUAGAUGCACUCAAUGCUCAUCACAAAGAAAAUCACCUCCCCAAGGCUACAGCUUUGGAUGGAUGUGUGAAUAGGCAGGAAAAUAAUAUGGAGAAAUCAUAUCCUUGCAGGAAGUGCAAGUUGAAUUUUUUCUGGAUGUCAGAUUUUCAGAUCCAUUCAAUGCAUCAUUGCAAAGGAAAAGAUCCUGAAGAAACAUUAGCAUCCAAAAUGGAAUUGAAGUCUAAGGACAUAGAAGACACACCACUUCAAAACGUCUAUAGUAAUGGGACAUCUAUUGAUGUAAAUAUUGAAGAUAGUAAAAUCUUUAGGGAUACUAGCAAUAAGAUUGUUGCUGAUUUCUCUCCCACACCAUACAGAUGCGGUUUGUGUGGUGAUCGUUUCCAAAGGUUAACAUCUCUAAAGGAGCAUCACCGCACACAUCAAACUCAGGAGGAAAUAGAUAAGCUGAAUCAAGAAUCAGAAAAAACAAUUAAGCGAAGAAUGCCGCCUAAAGGCAGACGUAGAAGGACGAGUAAUCCAAAUGGCAAGCUGCAUCCUUGCAAGCAAUGUCAUCGUGUUUUUAACCAUUCUAGCAGUUUAUCUCGGCACAUGAGAUACCAUAAGGGUACUAUGCACACAUGUGUAUUUUGUGGUAGACAUUUCCCACAGCGCUGUGAUUUAAGAAGGCAUCUAGCCAUGUAUCACAAAGCUGAAUCGGAAAAGAAACCAGGUUUGAAACACUUGUUCCCAAAUCCACAAAAUGGGCCAGACACCAGUUCUUUCAAUGGUGAGAUAAACGCAGACUCUCCUGAUGAGAAAACCAAGAGCUCCUCUGACAAUGAACAAAUGUCCUCACCAGAGCAGCAAACAAAGAGCAAACAAUCAGGAAAAGCUGGCCGAGUUAACUAUAAGUGCCAAGAAUGUGGAAAGAGAUUUGGGCUGCUAUGUGUGUACCAACGGCACUUGCGCUAUCACAAAAAGGAACCUAGUAAGUCCUCGAGGUAUCCAGCUCAAUUCAAGAACAGUUUGUCCCUUGAGCUUCAGCUUCAGAAUCACCCAAGCCCUGGAGAUGCAAAUGAUGUUCAACAAACAUUUUACAGCAGAAGGGACGCUGUUUUAGAAAAGGGGAAUGUAGAGGAUAUAGACGAUGACUAUAUGGACCAUACCCGAAAUGACAAAGGAAAUUCCUCAGAGGUCCUUUACGAAUGUACUGAGUGCACCGAGACAUUCUCAUGCUUGGACACAUUCCUUCAGCACCAGACUUCUCAUGGCUCAGAAAACGGGUAACUAUCUUGUCAACCCCAAUAGUAACUGUAAUUGCCAACAACCAAGCUCUCAGGAGUUGUCUUUUUGACUUUUUGAAUACAAGUAUUUCAAUAACAGUAUGAUGUAAAGUUUGUAACAUUUUUUUGACCAUGUACUUUAAUACACGUUUCUUUGGCAUGAGAAGAUUUGUUUGUUAGUCAUUAAAUAUCAAAAACCAAUGGGAACCAGAAAACAGGGCUCGGUGGGAAAAUGAAUGUGAAUUCAAUUCAAACUGUAAAAAACAGCAUAUGUCAUCAGUAAACUGCGAGUACAGUGUGGUUUAGUGCAAGAUUAAAUCUGGUAUCAGUGUUUCCCACAGAUCUGAAGGCAAUCGGGUGAGGGGGGGUCGGUAAAAAUAAAAAUUUACCUCAAACUUGCGACUAUAGUUAGCCUAACUUUAUAAAGAAGGCGUAAUCGCUUGUUUGCUAUGGGUCGGGUCGGGACGGGACAACAUUGUAUUCAAAAUAUAAAAUAUUUAUAUAGGACUUUUUAAUGUGUGAUUUUAUAAAGGUGCACGUGAUACCAACCUUUCGUUGAAUUUCGCCAGCCGUCUUCUCUUCACUAAGGCACAGCUUUCACGCUUCCAGGGAUGAUAUCGCUGAUGGAGACAUGUAGUGUGCACGGAGGGGAGGGGCUGUGUGUGUGCAGGCUAUGUGAGAGAGACGCGUGACUGACAGAGAGACGGAGGGAGAGCAGGGAAAGGAAAUGCAGCUUAACGAAUACGAUGCGUAUUUUUUAAAUAGCGUUAAAAAAAAUAAUAAUAACGAAACGCAAUGUGUGGCGGCCGGUGAUGAAUCUGUGGCGCACCGCCACAAAUUAGUCUAUGUGUGGGAAACACUGGGUAUUCUCCAACAGACUACAGGUUUAGUAAACAUAGGUCCCACAAAUUACUCACUAGCUAGGACGAAUACAUUGUAUUUUUUGUGGCUAAUCAUGAUCUUCUUGUCAAUCAUAUUGCUGAUUUCUUUAAAAUACUUUGUAUGUGGUUUUAAGAUUUUCUUUAAUAUGUGAUAUGUAUAUGUCUUCCUUUUCAAAGGGUAGCAUUGCUGCCCGGUGGAUUUUUACUGGUGCCAUUAAAGUCAUACAGAAAAAUUACUUAAAAGUA
Molecule: long non-coding RNA, 3278 nt
Organism: Eleginops maclovinus (Patagonian blennie)
Lineage: Eukaryota; Metazoa; Chordata; Actinopteri; Perciformes; Eleginopidae
Exons: 2
Source: RefSeq, a predicted model, not a curated record